GGAUCAUUAUCUAGGUGAGGGUCUCACGGCCCAAUCUUAAACCCUGUGUUACCAAUCUACCAUGUUGCUUUGGCGGGCCCGCCUCUGGCCGCCGGGGGCUUGUGCCCCUGGCCUGUGCCCGCCAAAAGCCCAUUUAAAUUCUUUUAACUGUGUUGUCUGAGUUUAUGAUAUAAUCGUUAAAACUUUCAACAACGGAUCUCUUGGUUCUGGCAUCGAUGAAGAACGCAGCGAAAUGCGAUAAGUAAUGCGAAUUGCAGAAUUCAGUGAGUCAUCGAAUCUUUGAACGCACAUUGCGCCCUUUGGUAUUCCGAAGGGCAUGCCUGUCCGAGCGUCAUUAUCAACCAUCAAGCCUGGCUUGUCGUUGGACCCCUGGCCGCGUACGCGUGGCCGGUCCGAAAGUGAAUGACGGUGUCGGUCCGACCCUCGAUGCAACGAGCCUUUUGGCACGCAUUGCGGUGGCGGGCUGGCCUGGUCUUAACCCAAUUUUUUCAAGGUUGACCUCGGAUCAGGUAGGAAUACCCGCUGAACUUAAGCAUAUCAAUAAGCGGAGGAAAAGAAACCAACAGGGAUUACCCUAGUAACGGCGAGUGAAGCGGUAACAGCUCAAAUUUGAAAUCUGGCCCUCCCGGGUCCGAGUUGUAAUUUGUAGAGGAUGUUUCGGGCAAGGCCCAAGUUUAAAUUUCUUGGAACAGAAUGUCAUAGAGGGUGAGAAUCCCGUCUAGAACGUCGGCCGCGUCCAUGUGAAACUCCUUCGACGAGUCGAGUUGUUUGGGAAUGCAGCUCAAAAUGGGUGGUAAAUUUCAUCUAAAGCUAAAUAUUGGCCAGAGACCGAUAGCGCACAAGUAGAGUGAUCGAAAGAUGAAAAGCACUUUGAAAAGAGAGUUAAACAGUAUGUGAAAUUGUUGAAAGGGAAGCGCUUGCGACCAGACUUGUGUGUGGCGGCUCCCCCGGUCUUUUGACCGGGCUACUCUGUCAUAUCCAGGCCAGCAUCGGUUCGGGUGGUCGGUCAAAGGUCUUGGGAAUGUAUCUACCUCCGGGUCGACUUAUAGCCCAAGGCGCAAUGCGGCCUACCUGGACCGAGGAACGCGCUUUUGCUCGGAUGCUGGCGUAAUGGUUGCAAGCGGCCCGUCUUGAAACACGGACCAAGGAGUCUAACAUCUAUGCGAGUGUUAGGGUGUCAAACCCUUACGCGGAAUGAAAGUGAACGGAGGUAACAACCCUUAAGGGUGCAUUAUCGACCGAUCCUGAUGUCUUCGGAUGGAUUUGAGUAAGAGCAUAGCUGUUGGGACCCGAAAGAUGGUGAACUAUGCCUAAAUAGGGUGAAGCCAGAGGAAACUCUGGUGGAGGCUCGCAGCGGUUCUGACGUGCAAAUCGAUCGUCAAAUUUGGGUAUAGGGUAUGUACAUCCCUCUCCUUUAUAAUCUUUGACAUAUGCUAAUAUUUUUUUAACAGGGCGAAAGACUAAUCGAACCAU
This 1473-nucleotide ribosomal RNA is filed under the name Capronia villosa. RNAcentral describes it as "eukaryotic LSU rRNA". The stretch from base 496 to 1473 matches the Rfam family "Eukaryotic large subunit ribosomal RNA", at positions 1 to 943 of the family's 3401-position model. The record is from RNAcentral. Lineage: Eukaryota; Fungi; Ascomycota; Eurotiomycetes; Chaetothyriales; Herpotrichiellaceae.